This 752-nucleotide long non-coding RNA is filed under the name Homo sapiens (human). RNAcentral describes it as "non-protein coding lnc-NSFL1C-1:1". Lineage: Eukaryota; Metazoa; Chordata; Mammalia; Primates; Hominidae. The record is from RNAcentral.
GGGAAGCUGAAACAGCAGGAAAGCAUGGAGGUGGUUCUCCACUAACUGGAGCCACCCUCAUUGAAUCCUGAAACGUGGUUGAAAGCUGACUCUGUGCCAGGCCCUAAUCAGUGUGCUGAGAAAGAAACAGAAGUCUGCUCUCUCAGAGCUUACCUCCUCCCGAGAGAAGACAGACAAUGAGCAAGUAACCCUAGGGUGGACAGAAGAGGCCUCCUGAUAAAGUGACAUUUGAGCAGACACCUGAAGGAGGUGAGGAAGAGAGCCCUGCAGAUACCCAGGGGAAGAGCUGAAAAGUACAAGGAACAGCGAAUGCAAAGGUCCUGAGGCAGGAGCGUGCUUGACUUGCACAAGAACAGCAAACACCAAGCAGAAUGCCUGGCCUGUAUUAGACCCCGUAAACGCCUGAACUACAUACAUGGCAGAGAUGAAGCACACAGUCUCGGAAAUCUGGCUGUGCAGGUUCAAAUUCCAGUUCUCCUACUUAUCUCUUGGUGAUAAUAGAGUGACAUCCUUCAGAGACCUCAUUCAUGACCAAGAUGAAGAUGAGGAGGAAGAGGAAGGCCAGAGGUGCCAAAGAGCAUGGAGCUGUAGCUGUGGAGCGAGUGACCAAGAGCCCUGGAGAGACCAGUAAACCGAGACCAUUUGCAGGAGGUGGCUACCGCCUUGGGGCAGCACCAGAGGAAGAGUCUGCCUAUGUGGCAGGAGAAAAGAGGCAGCAUUCCAGCCAAGAUGUUCAUGUAGUAUUGAAACUC